RNAcentral lists this ribosomal RNA (301 nucleotides) under uncultured bacterium. Its description in RNAcentral is "partial 16S ribosomal RNA". It matches the Rfam family "Bacterial small subunit ribosomal RNA", at positions 509 to 807 of the family's 1533-position model. The record is from RNAcentral.
CAGUAGCCACGGGAAUACGAAGGGGGCUAGCGUUGCUCGGAAUCACUGGGCGUAAAGGGUGCGUAGGCGGGUUUUUAAGUCAGAGGUGAAAUCCUGGAGCUCAACUCCAGAACUGCCUUUGAUACUGAAAGUCUUGAGUAUGGGAGAGGUGAGUGGAACUGCGAGUGUAGAGGUGAAAUUCGUAGAUAUUCGCAAGAACACCAGUGGCGAAGGCGGCUCACUGGCCCAUAACUGACGCUGAGGCACGAAAGCGUGGGGAGCAAACAGGAUUAGAUACCCCGGUAGUCCCUGUCUCUUAUAC